GGAGAGAGGGAGAGAGGUCGGCGCCGGUAGAGGAUCAGGUGGGCGGGGGCGUCUGGGUGGGGACGGCGCUCAUACCUUCCGCCCAUGGGUGAGUCGGAGACGAGGAUACUGCUUCAGCGUGUCGUGGACGACCUGGGCGACAGCGGCCCAGUUCUGCUCACAGAAACAGGCAUAACCAAGGUCAAGGACCCUUCUUCAACCGCCCGAGGACCAAGUAGUAGAGAGAGAGAGAGAGCGCGACUGAUGUGUCUGCUCGCACGUACCUUCUCAUCUACGUUACGAUAAUGUACAGAAACGCAAAACUUGUUGUUCUCGACCUUUGCGCCGGCAAUCUCGCCUGCGCUCUCGACGAGGGACUUAAAAACCUGCUCGCAGAUGCAGAGGCAGAAGAGACUUAAAAACCACCCCGUCGGACAGAAGGAUUAGGAGAAGGAGAAGAAGAGGAGGUAGAAGAAAGAGGAGGAGGAGGAGGUGGAGCAGAUAGUUACCUCCUCGAUCAUGGGAAUGAACUCACUCGCAGGCUGGAACAGAUUCACUUCCUUGCCCUGCAGAACACCGGAGCAGAAGACCAACAAGUUUUUAGAGGAGCGAAUCAGAAAAGAAGAUGAGGAACAAGGAUUGGAGCAUGGGAGUGCAUCGCCGACCUGCUUAUCAGUGGACCUGACGCAGUUGGGAUGGUUGUCAACAGGCUCCGACAAUCGGACGGGGCCCAUUAUGUCCAUCCCAUGGCUACCGGCGUAAUAAAGAUUGGUUAGUCCGACAAAUUCGUAGACCUGCAAUAGAGAAUUUACGAGGGAAGGUUCACUCUCUCGGACAGGAGACCCCCCGUCUCCAUAGGAGGAGAAUCUAAAGAAAGUUGACGGAACCAGAUGGGAGAGGGCUGUACCUUAUCGCGGCUCCUCCCACUGAUGAUUGCCGUAGGGACGUACUUCGAGACAUUUUGUACGGAGGUACGCAUCUGAGAGGGAGCCCCAAAAUCGUAGUCAGAUGUGAAUAGAGCGUAAGGAUGGAGUUUUGCCUGGAAGAUGGAUUAUCGUGGGGGAUUAAAGAUGACCAGCAGAUACUUACCGCAUUGGACAUGAAAGCGCGGUCAGGUUCGUCGACGAUGGGUGAAAGGGUUCCGUCGUAGUCCAGGAACAAUGCUACGCGCUUGCCGCUGGCCUUUUCUACGAUUUGCUCGAAUGAAGAUAAAGCCGACGGGUACUUCAGCUAUUAACAGAAUUCGCACGUCAGAGGAAGAGAAUAAAAAAUGAAGACACUAGAUCGAAGCAGAGAGAAGAAAAUGAAGCCAGAAUGAGUGUCGUCGACUCACCAUCCAGGAACGGUAAGAGGCGUCAGUAUCUUCGGGUAAAAGGUCGACGCAGCUAUCCUUGCAGAGCUUUCUCCGGGGAGAAGAUGAGGCCAUUGAGUCUAGCCAACCGUUAGAGAGGACAUCAUCAAGUAAUCCUGGAGCAGCCCUUUUCAAAGAUAUUGCAAGGUAGAGAGGAGUCGGGAAGGUGGUCGCCAAAUUGGACGGCAUGCCAAAUCUCGACUUGUUUACAGGCACGGGUUCAGGGAGAACAGGAGCGUGUUUCGGGAUUAUAUCCAUGGGAUCCAGAUCAAUUGGGAAGCCUAUGUCAAAAAAAUGCCUACAAUUCCUAACUGUGAUCUCAGCGGAACGAGUGGGUGUUCCCGAAUCCGUCACCCAACUCUUUUAUCAAUGAAGAACCACCUCUUUAAUGUCUUCUUGUCACUGGUGUUGUGGAUGCAGUCCAUUAAGCGAGCGCUUCCUGAGAUCUGAUCACAAAAAGAUGUGUUAGAUCCGAGAUAUUUACGGAGAUCAUAGAUCAUAGUUUUCUCGAUAAGAGCAACCCUUCGAUGUAUUCCAAAAUCCAAAAUUCAGACAGACCUUCCCAUUCGCAGGACCACGCAGCAUCUAUAGCAAGUAGCCAAACAUUGGUCGAGGCCGGGAAUCUACUCUUGCUUCAGAAAGUACCGAUCCAACACAGAAAUAUCUGCUGAACAGAACGAACUUACAUUAGCCUCAUAAUCACGACCGCACGAUAAAAUUACAUGAAAGCAGAAAACUUGAUUCCCUUUCUACCUUCCAUUUCAAAAUAAAUUCGGAAUAGUUUUGGGUAGACACAGACGCAAUCCUUGAUGCGUACUGAUCUCUUUAUAUAUAUAUAUAUAUAUAUAUAGAGAGAGAGAGAGAGAGAGAGAGAGAGAGAGAGAGAGACCGGAAAGAAAAAAUGAGUAGCAGUACUACUAUUAGAUCGAUGAAAUGAAGUCAUACAACAGAAUACUUCCUGUUCUGCUAAUGUAGCGAAAAACGUAAAUUAUGUGUGGAAAUUUCUCAGAUGUUUCCGUUGUAACGUCGUACUCGUCCCAUGUGAGAACAGGCGGCACUUCACGUCAAUUUUUUACUCGUCGAAAUUUACGUUCUCGUGACCCGAAGAUUUCACGGACUAUUAAAUGAUAGCUACAACCAGACUAGGCCAUACGGUGUGUAGAUACCAGACCUACUGAGUAAAGUUAGACCUUUAUUGUUUCAACCAAUUAUCAUAGAAAGAGUCGUAAGACUGGACGCCUCGGAGAAAGAUCCGGGACCUUUGUCCGCUGAAGCGAUAGGUAUGACAAUGUUCGGCAUAACACGAUAAAAGUCCAAAGAAAGUUCAUGGGUCUAAUAAAUCGCACAUUUCAGCGUAUAAACCCACAAAUGAGUACAACUUCAAGUACACACGUGCAUCAAAGCAUGACUAUGGGUCGAGUGAUCUAUGUGAUAUCAUGAGAUUCACGAGGGUUAUCCACGAUGUUUUGGCGAUAAUGUUUAGAAGAGUAGGAAUAUAAAUAUUUUAUCGUCUAGAGGGUUCGUCGCUGGGAAAAGAAGAAGAGACAGUGAAACAGGAAGGUCACAUCACGUCGAUGCUUGCGUCACAAGAGGCUCAAUCAGUUGUACCAGAAGUUGGCAGGUGCAAUGCAUAAAAUACCACAACAAAGAGGAAGAUAGACGAAGCAACCACCCUAAACCGGCAAAUUAUCGAAACGGAAGCCCGCGUUAACGUUCCUCUCGUCCAAAGUUCCGACGGAACUGACGAGCAAUAACAUAGAAUAAGCUGGUUACGCAGUUUUGAUGUGACUUUUCGCCAGGAGACCAGACUCUGAACACGCAACGACGACGAAAUAAAUUCUCGACAGUAAAUCCAGAUCUGGAGACUUCACCACGAAGCUUCCCCCAAAGAAGAAAACAAAGAGCGCAAGAGCAACAGCCUCGAUAAACCAAGCAGCCGAUCUCGCCAGCUAAGAACAACAAUCCAAGAGUCGAAACAAACCCGAGGGGACCAGAUGGAAUGUCACGGGGGUGGGAAGGCAACCACAGGAGUAAGAAGAAGAGAAGAAUAGUUCUCGCAUACCUGCCUCUCGAAUCCGAGCGAUCGAUCAGCAAUCCUCAACCCAAGCAGGCCAGGAUGACAAGAUUCUCCGUAAUGCAGCGGCCACAAGGAUCGAGGGAGCGACACAAACAGCACCCCGCGAAGCCGAGGCCGGGAGCCGCCGGAGUCCGGAGCCCCGACAGAAACCAGAACCACCAAAAAGGAGAAGAUCGGCUCGCCGGCCGGGAGAGGGGGGGCUCUUUGGCUCCGAGAUCAGGAAGAAAAGAGAAGAAGAAGUGGAGGGCAAGAAUCCAGGGGUAUUUAUAGAUGGAGGAGACGUGAGCCGCAAGCAUAGAAACUACCGCGAAACCUCCCUCUGAAGGGAAAUACCGGCCUCCCAAUGUGGGGACCACCACCGACGCGCAUUUUUCAUGCCGACCUCUAACCGACCGACACGUAUCUCCCUUCCAGAAAGUCUUUCUAUCCCGCGGGGCCCACGGCGGCUUAAAACCCGUGACGGGGGCUCACGGAGAUCUCGAAGCCGUCGGCCGGACGGUCAGGAUUCGGCCGAUGUGGACCGCACCCAUACCUACGGUUGGCGGUUGUUUACUUCACUGUGCCAUCCCUUUCCACGUCAUUAAUAUAAUUUAAUUGUACGAAAAAUCCCCCGUAUGUUGACGGGAGCCGUUGUGGAAUUAUCCACGUGGAAAAUAAUAUUUCCUUGUUCAAAUAAUAAUGGAGGAUCUCUGACAGUCACUUCCUUGGAAGCCUUCCUGCCGCGUUCGAGCGGGGGGGAAUUGGCCGAUAUAUAUAAUCAAUAAAUAAAUAAUUCGGCGUGGCACCUGCGUGGCUGUGGGGCCCAUGCUGGUUUCGGCUCCCGCAAUGCAGUCAAUGCGUGUCGGUGUGGAGGAUACGCGGGUUGGGGGGGGGGAAGGGGGGGAACGGGCGAUAAAAUAUUCCGCGGAGCAGUCUGUUAGAUCAGGCGUGACGCCCACAGAAAGGCACGUGCCAGGCGCAGCUUCGGCAGCUUCACACGGAGGCGUCGAAUAUCGCUGGCGGUUAAUGGGGAUCUUUGACUAAGCGGACCCACCAACCCCCGAGAGAGAGAGAGAGAGAGAGAGAGAGAGAGAGAGAGANNNNNNNNNNNNNNNNNNNNGAGAGAGAGAGAGACAGACAGACAGACAGGACAGACGACAGCUGGCUGACAGCGAGGGAACGAGUCAGGGAGCCCCCAGUCGCCGGGUGCUCUUAAUAUAUAUAUUGUGCAUGAUGCGUCAGCAAUCGACGUGGCAAUGACGAGUCUCGGGGUGGGUGACGCGGAGGUGACAAGGUCAGCGGUGGACGGGGCGGAUGGCGGCUGGCAGAUCCAGGAGAGGGAGGGAGAGAGAGAGAGAGAGAUUCAAGUCAAACGGAGUGUUGGGCUGUUUCAAAGUUUGGAUUUUUCGGGUGACAAGGAAGUUUCCUACCUACUGGUCAAGACCUCCACGAAGGCGCAGACCCGGCCCAGAUAAGAAAUGGCCCAUGCCAGGUGUUAACUACUUCAUUGGUCUUAUGUUUCAGGUUCUGGGCUGUCCAAAUACGAGAGAAAGAAGAGAGAGCGAGAGAGAGAGAGAGAGAGAGAGAGAGAGAGAGAGAGAGAGAGGUGAGACCAACAAGAGAACAAGUGGAACCCUCCCUCUUCUUCUCUCACCAAACCCCAAAAUCUCAUCUCAUGCUUAUUUGACUCUAUAAUACUCUCCCCAACACCUAGAAAUUGACUGGGAUAUCAUCUCUUAUGUCCCUCAUCCUUUUGAGAAGGAAUGUGGAGACAGAGAAAAGGAGGACAUUAAAACACUUAUAUUUAUUUACUAGGUCAUUGCUAAUGUCCCUCCCAUGGCUACUAUGCAUGUCAUCACGUCCAUUGAUUUCUUGCCCCAUUUUUACAAUCCAUAGGUUUAAUGACUCGAUAAACAACAUUAUUCAUCCUUAAGUUAAUUAAGUUACAAACACAAUAAAUUACUCUAUCUAAACACAACAAUCUCUCUUCUCUAGGGCCUUCAAUGCAAAGGAACAUUAGACAAUUUGAGACACUGAUGAAACUUUGCUGCUAGCAAUGGCUUAGUCAUCAUAUCAGCUAUAUAAUCUUGAGUUUGAGCAUUCACAAGUUGGAUGUCUCUUUAAAAUGAACUCACAUCACCUGUGAAAUUGAACAUCAAUGUAGUUUUUCCUUAAAUGAUAAAUCAUAUAUUUCACUAGACAAAUUGUACACACUAUUGAAAUGUAAAUAUGUAAAUUAAUUAAUGACAAGUUUUUUGCCAUAUAUUUUAAUCAAAAUAUUUAUUUUAUAGUCUCAAUUGUAAUAGUAUAUUCAACUUUUUUAGUUGAUAAUGAGAUAAUAUAUUGUAGCAUUCACUUCAAAUUUAUAAGAUUUUCACCUAAAGGAAAGAUAUUUUAUGUUGUAGAUCUCUUCUUGUUGAGAUUGCCCAUAAAAUCUAACAUAAUUAACAAGAAAUCAUACUUACUCUCUUGAAAUAGCAAAUCAGCAUUUAAUUUAUCCUUACAACAACAUGAAGUCUAUUUUAGUAUAUUCUAGUGCUAUUUCCUUCUUUUUGUCAUAUAUCUAUUAACACUACUAGUAACUUAUGAUAGAUCAUGCAAUACAAAUAAAACAUAUAAGACAAUUAGUUAAAUCAUUGUAAUGUAAAUUCAAAUCUCAUUUUUUCUUUAUUAGGUUUAAAGUAUUAUUGUAAAGACAACUGAAAAUAUUGAACUAAAGGUAUAGUAAUAAUAUUACCCUUUAUCACAUUGAAUUUACUCAAUAAUUUUUCAAUGUACCAUUUUUAAGUUAUAAUCUCUUGCAUCGUUUCUUCAUUUUAAGAUUCACUUGGGAGUAACUAUAUUUUUCAUAUUAAAUUUAUAAUUAAAUAUUUUCGAAUUUUUAAUACCAUCCAUAAAUUUGUUGCCAAUCAACAUGUCAAUAACAUAUAACAUGAGUAAAAUAAUAGAAGCAUUGUCAAGAAUUCUGCAUUUGUUAUAUUAUUUUGCAUAUUUUUUCUUUAUUUUCUUUUUAAAUUUAUAAUGUAAUUAUUUUUAACUAAGUUGAUCUAAUCCUAUCUAGUCUACUUCAUUUGUGUGCUACUAGGUUGGUAUAACUAUCAAUCAUAUAAAAAAAUGAAAAAAAAACAAGAGCUUUGGUCAUUUUUCUCUUCUACUCUUCUCAUAUUGCUAUUGCAAUAAGACACUCAAUAAGUAGCUUAAGACACUAAGUAAAGAGUUUGAAGGUUUGACAUGGUAUCAUAGCUUAGACAAUAGGUGUGAUACACCCCUUCAUGUUGUUUUUUAAGUAGUGACUAUCACCAGCCACGAAACACUUGGCAUAGUUGAACUAAAUUUAUUUCCUUUUGUUUAGUGUCAUUCACUCGAUUAAUUCACAUAGCUCUUUUCGUUCCCUUUAGUUCAAAAAGUAUUUGAGAAUAUGAUUUGAUAUAAUAAUUUGAAAAUCAUCUCUAAAGAUCAGCUCAAAUCAUUAAAACUUUCAAAUUAAUUUCUACGUUUUAAGUUCUGUUAAAAAUGUAAAUUUGAUGUAUUUUAUUUCAAUGACUAAAGUAUGAUCACUCUCUUCUUGUCCAAGCCAUAUAUUCAAUUUGAGGACAUAUAACUAUUGAACUUUUCCAACUUGGAUCAUGUAUUCCAAAGCCAUUGAACAUAUGACCAAUUUAUACUUAUUUUUUAUAUAUACUAUUCACAUCCUAGUAAUUGAAAAGUUGUCACACAUGAGGAUACUUAAUCGUAAUAGCAAACAAAGAAAAUAUAUUUCUUACUCCUCUCACUGUAAGAAUUUAGUUAUCUUCUUAUAUUGACCACAAAUUUACUAUUUGUUAAUAAACUUACUAUCGAUUUACAUUGUAAUGUGGUAUUCUAUCAUAAUUUGUGUGUUUUAGGACAAGAUAUCAUGAAAGAUGUUUAGACAUACAAGGAAGUAAGGUUGAUUAUACUUUUUGAAACACCCUUUUUAGUCACACAUUACAAAAGAAGUGAGUUCUUUCCUUCAAUCAUUGAUAAGAAAAGAAAUCAAGGUAUCGGCUAACUUAAUCAUUUUGGCUCACUAUUUUUAUGUAAAUGAUAAGUAAAAACCUUUUGAAUCCAACUCACCAAAUCAAAAUAUAUUAUUUUUUCUAAAAUAAAUAUGAGGACUUUUACUCCCUUCUUUUGUGUUCAUAAUGAUAUUUGAAACCCUUUAGUUGUUCAAUUUUUUUUGAAGCCAAAUGAUUUGUAAAAUAUAUUAAUAAUUAUAUUUGUGCUAAAAGGCAUUUUUGUAUAAAUAUAAAUCUAAUUUCAAAGCUAACAUUCUUAGACUUUUCUCUAUGAUUAAUACACAAUUUCGAGUGACUAUUAAAAAAUUAGAUUUGAUAAUACCAAUGAUUAUUUUACACAAGUCACUAUGUGUUAAUACACUAUAGCAAAAUGGAGUAGGUAAAAGAAAGAUGGUCAUCUUCUUAAGGGUAACUUAGUCUCUUCUUUUUAAAAAUCAUUGUCUUAAAUAUUUUUGAAAGGAAUCAGUUUGAAUAGUUAAUAACAUCAUAAAUUCUCUACCUUCUAAAAUAUUAAAAUUCAAAAUUCCCAAAAAAUAUUUUCAUCAUUUUAUUAUGAUGAUCUAUUAAAAACUAAUUUUUUUCUUAAAAUAUUAACAUUUAUCUAUGUACAUGAUCACCAUAAAGAUCAAUUAAGUUCUAGGGAUUUGAAAUACAUUUUUAUUAGAUAGUCACAAAUUUAAAAGGGUUAUAGGUGUUAUUAUCCUCCAUCAAAGAAUAUUUCAAUUGAUGCUAAUCUUAACUAAAAAGACUCUUAUUUUACCCCAUCUUAUCUUCAAAGAGAUAAUCAAGAUGAUAAAGGUAGUAUUAUAAAUCUAGUUGAGAAUCAAGUGACUUCAGUAGUUAGUUUUAAUUUUACUCUUGAAAAACUUCUUAAUUUUUUGCCUUUUGCACUCAUGUCUAAUCUUACAUCCAUAUUAGAGUUUAAUCCUAUUGACUCCUUAAAAAAAUUGAGAUUUGAUCGAAUAUAUUUCCAAAAGAAGAAGGAUGUCACAAAACUUACAUAUGUUAAGAAAUUUCACUUGGAUACACAUUUCUAGGAAGUUUACUUAAAUAUUAGAAAUGAGAUACAAAUUUGUCUUUCGUGAAACCACUUGAAGUUGAACUUAUUAUCAUUAUCAAAUGACCUUGAAAAUAUAUUAAGAGACCUAUAUACCAUCUCUCAUAUUAUUUUUCUUAUGAUCAUUUUUUACAAUCUAACAAAACUUUCUUUGCUGAUUUAAACACUAUUAUUGUCCCUACUAUUGUUGUUAUUUGUUUAGUAAAAAAUAGGAACAAGUUAUGAAUGAAGAGAUGAAAACCUUAAAUAAAAACAUCACUUGAGAGUUAGUGAAGGACCAAUUGGAAAGAAAGUUGUGGGUUCUAAAUGAGAAUACAUGAUAAAAUAUCAAGCUAAUAGAUCUAUUGAGAGAUAUAAUGUUAAACUAAUUAUUAAAGGGUACACUCAAAUAUAUGGACUUGAUUGCCUACAAAAUUUUACUCAUGCAAUAAAAAUGAAUAUAGUCAAAAUUAUUUUGUCACUAGUAACUAACUUCAGUUGAGAUUUACAACAAUUUAAUGUAAAAAAAAAUAAUUUUUCAUAGAUACUUAGAGCAAUAAAUUUAUAUAGGGAUCCCAUAGGGGUAUGAAAAUAGUUGGCUCAUAUUUUGGUUAAAUAAUUCAAGAUUAAAAUAUCAAAAUUUUGAAAAUAUUUUCUUAUAAUUGAAGUAGAAGAUCUAAAGAGAUAUUUGACAACUGAAGUAUAUUAUAGAUAUUUUACAGGUAAUUUUUAAAGUGACACUUAAACUAGAAAAUAUUUGAAAGAUUCAAAUACUAUACUUAGUAAUGGUUGAAAUAAUAAAAUUUUAAAUGGAGAAAUUUAUCAAAUAAUGGUUGAAAUUAUAGUUUAUGUAGUGAGUAUGAUUAGUUAAUUCAUGUAUAAUCCAAAAAAUAGUGAUGUUGAUUAUGGAAGAUCCAUUAUAUACAAAAAGAUACACCUUAGGAUAUUGUUCCUUAUUUGAUAAGAAUCUUAUCAUUUAAUAAAGAAACAAUAAAAUGUGGUGAGCCAUAACUCAAAGCAUAUAUAAAUUAUUGUGGGUGAAAAUCAUUCUAGAAGACUAAAAAAUUAAGAUGAAUGAUCUUAUGAAAUUUUAUAAAGACAAAAAAUCAACAAUCAAAAUUGCACAUAACUUAGUUCGACAUGAUCAUAAAUUUAUUGUAAUUGUUGAUAUAUAUUCAUAAACUUUAGGAGCAUAUAUCAAAAUUUUCAUCAUUAUAUAUCAAAUAUGGGACUUGUUGAUUUAUAUUCACAAACUUUAGGAGCUUAAAUAAUGAUAGAUAUAUAUCCAUUUUAUUCUAGUUAUUUUGAAUUAGACUAGAUUGGUAAGUCCAAUUCAGUUCAUGUACUAUUACACUAGUAUAAAUGCUAGUCUUAUGAGAAAACCUUAUUUUUGAAAAUGUGAACUAGAAAUUAAGGUUUUGUCUUGUUUUUGCUCCAUUUUUCUUAUUGCCAUUGUAGCUAAAGUUGGAGACAAUCAAUCAUGGAGUUUAGACACUCAACAAAGAGGUUGAAUGCUUUGAUAACUAUCAUUGAAGAAAUAAGUCUAAGUUAAAAAAUAUUACCUACUUUUUUUUCUUCUAGAAUUAAACAAAUGGAUUUGCAAAUAAAAGUGCUAAUGCCACAACUAGUCCAUAAAUGUAUUAUAUUUUUUAUGUCACUCUUGUGAAGUUUGUCUCGUUGGUUUUUUUUAUUGUAACAUCUACAUUUCUUCAUUUAGAAUUUUAUAUAGUAAUAUAAUUUUGACAUCAAGUCAUUCAAAUUUCACAUCCCACAUAGUUGUCAUAAAACAUAACUUUGUACAAUAUUUUACAUCUAAUAAUAAAGUUUCAUUGAAGUCAAUAUUUUUCUUUUGCCCAAAUCUUUUUACUACAUGAUGAAUCUUACAUUUGUGUUGUUCUACUUCUAAUAUAAGUUUUUUACACACUCACUUGUAGUCAAUUGACUUAUUGACGUUUGAAAGUUUGUCUAAAGCCUAAGUUUUAUCUUUUAAAAGAGAAUUCAUCUGUUUUUCUAUAUAAAUCCUCCAUUUGAAUGUUUUGACUCUCAACUACCUCUAGAAAUAAUAUAAGGUUAAAUGGUAUAACUUAAAAACAUGAAAGACUUUAUUGAAAAAUCUUAAUGUUGGUGCCCAUAUGACUAAUUACACAAAUCAAGAGAGGUGAAUUGAUUCUUUAUUCUUAUCCAAUUGAUUACCCUUUUCUACUCGUUUUUAGUUUUUCAUAUUUGUUUUUCUUAAAUUGAAGUUAAGAGGACAAAGAGAGAUACAUAUAAUAUGAUAAUAGUUUGUCUAAAACCUCUUUGGCCUACGUCUACUUCCAACAUCAUGAUUUCAAUUCAUCUAUUAUUAUUGUGGGACAACGAAUGAUUUCACAUAAUCAACAUCACUUGUAACAUAGAUUUUACAAGUCUACUUCUCAAGUUAAUUUUCUAAGGUCUCUAGCAACCUGUUGUAACAUAUACUCUGUGAAUUUAUUCCUUGUAAGUAUUUUACAAGCUCUCUAACAACCUUUUGUAAUAUGAGUUUACUCUUUGCUAUUUUUAUAAAAUCUCUAACAAUCUUUUACAUAAUAGACUUUAAGUUUAUAUCUCCUCACUAGUUUUCAUAGCUCUUUAACAAUCAUGAUAGUAUAAACUUCACAUGUCUACCUAUCCAUUAUUCUUAUGACUCUAAUAAACUUCAAUAACAUGUGAUAAAUAUUCUAAAAUUCCAGAUCAAUAAUACGAAGUAUUUAGCUCUAAUGUACCACAAUUUUCUUCUAGGGCAAUGAAGCUUGUUGUGUAAGAAAGGUGGACAUGAUGAAGUUCCUAAAUGUUUGAGUAAUAAGAGAUUUUUUCAAAUGUUAUUAAAAAUUAGUGAUGUGAGCUACAACCAUAUCAAUUUGGAUAGAGUUUCCUCAUAAAUAAUGAAAGAAAGAUCAUAAAAAUUGAUUAUGAGUCUCCCCCACCCUUUAUCUUUGUCACAUUGGGCCAAAUGGUAGCUCAAUGAUUAGUCGAAUGGACCUUAAAUGGAUUAUUUUUGAGUUUAAAAUACAUAAGAAUGUAGCCGUAAAUGAUGUGUAGCUUAUAACUAUUUGAUAUUUUUUAUUUUGACAAUUUUUGUGUUAUAUUUCUUUCUAAGUAAGCUUUCCAAUGACUAGUCCAUUGCUCAUAUCUCUUACAUUAUUUAAGAUAAAAUCUAUUUUAAUCAACUAAUUUAGACAUUUAGACCAUUUACCUUUAGACAAAAUUUUGAAAGGAUUAAUUUAGAAAACCCAUAACAAAUGAAAUGAUUCAAAUUUUUAUGAUAUGUUUACUAGGUUAUAUUCUCUUUCAAUUACCUUUUUGAUGAAUGGUUGUAAGCUUAUAUGUGAAUUAACUUGCCUAGAUAAAAUUUAUUUUAUUCAAUGUCUCAAAACUAAUGACAAUUAUGUUCUUUUGUGAAUUUGAGUUGGUUUAAAAUGACAUUUUAUGCGUUACUCAUGUCAUAAAAGUAUCAUCUAAUUAAGUUUUGUCAUAAAAAAAAUAUUGUAAACCUUUCAUCACUAAUAUUAAUAACAUAUUGAUUUCUCUUCUUCAACAUUGUGUGGCAAUAAAGUAUUUAUUUAAUUUAGUUGUAUAGAAAAAUCAUAAUAAUGUUUUGACCUUUUUAUAUCUACAUACUAUUUUGACAUCUUCAUUCAACUCCACCUUAAUCAUGCUAUAUGAAUCAUUAUCAUUAGAAGUUGUACAUUGAUUUUUUUUCAAUAUUGAUAUUUUAUCAAAAAUCAUAGUUGUUGAGAUAUGCCUUAUAUGUUAUAGGAUUCUAUAAAUUAUCUCUUAACACCUUCUCUAUACAUAGAAAUAACAUAUUACUUUAGUUUACCUCAAACUUUAUUUAUUGAUGUAAGAUAAUAAGGAUAGUCAAAGAUUUUUAGAUUAUAAUAUUUUACUGGUUACUAGACUUAGCUUUCUAUGAUAUCUUGAGUCUCACUAAUGUAGAAAGUAAGUAAUUCAUCAAAUAGCAUGUUGUAUUGACUACUUAUAAGAUACAAAAAACUUCAUGGAAUGUGGUUUUUUAGUCAAUAUUCUGGUAAUCUUUUCAUUUGCUUUAUUGUGUUGUGGCAUCUAUGAACUAAUUAAGUGAUGAAAAAUACAUUCCAUCAAACAAAAAACCUUAAACCAUGUUAAGAUAUACUCGUCAUCAUUGUCAUAGCAUAAAAAACUGAUAUGUUUUCAAUGCUGAAGUGUGUCAAACAUUUAGGACGUGUUUCAAAAAGUAUACUUAUACUUUCUUGGAAAACCAUCAAGAAAGGUGAUAGAAAAUAAAAUUAUUUUACACAAAACAUUUGGAGAUAUACUCUAAACAUACGAUAUCACAUAUUCAAUAAUAGUAUCACUUUUUUUAGUCGAAGUAACAAAUUUAAUCUUGCAGCUUUUGUCAAUUAUACAAUAUUUAUACAAUUAAAAUUGUUGUUAUAUUGAGUAAUUUAUUUUGUGGAAAUCCAACAUUUCUUUUUUGUUCAUAUGAUCAUAGUAUGUUACAAUAUGAUAGCAUUAUCAUUUUUAAAGUAUGAUAUGAAUAAUGUAUCGCAAUUAGAUCUUAUUCAUUUCAAAUGUUGUCACUAAACUUACGUACUUUUUCUUUUUCAAAACGAGCUUCGUGAAGUUUUUGUUGUACAAGGAUUGACUUUUAUUGAAAUAAAUAUUUCCAUCAAAUAUAAUAAAUUCAAAAUUUGUCAUUGACAUCUUCAUAAUAUCUUAAAACAAAACUAACACCAACUUUUACUCUGAUACGAAAUGUUGUGACAAAUAAAAACCAAAUGGGUGGUGCCAAUUGUUUUAUGGGGAGAGAGAGAGAGAGAGAGGNNNNNNNNNNNNNNNNNNNNNNNNNNNNNNNNNNNNNNNNNNNNNNNNNNNNNNNNNNNNNNNNNNNNNNNNNNNNNNNNNNNNNNNNUAGGAGAGAGAGAGAGAGAGAGAAGGGGGGGGAGGAAAGAGAGAGAGAGGGAGAGAACCAGAGAGAGUCCCAAGGCCCAGCCCAGAUAUGAAAUGGGCCCAGUCAGCUGACAGCCACUUUGUCCUUAUUAACUCUGAAUGCGAGGGAUACAGGGGGAGAGGGAUAGGGAGAGAGGGCGGGGCCCUGGUAACUCAAAACACACCAACCAUUAACUAGAAAACAUUGAGCGGAGUGAAUCCUUCCCUGAACAAGAACACCUGCUGCGUAGAAGACCUAGGGUUCCCUAUAAAGCGUCUACAAACCAAGCGCUCCGCUCCAGUUUCCCCCGCUCAGGGAUGGAGAUCGCCGGGGGAGAGGGGCCCUCAU
This 13737-nucleotide long non-coding RNA is filed under the name Spirodela polyrhiza (greater duckweed). RNAcentral's name for it is "long non-coding RNA (SPOL_LNC001022)". The record is from RNAcentral. Lineage: Eukaryota; Viridiplantae; Streptophyta; Magnoliopsida; Alismatales; Araceae.